GCGGAAGUGGUGAAAUUGGUAUACACGCUAUCUUGAGGGGGUAGUGCUCGAAAGGGCGUACGGGUUCAAGUCCCGUCUUCCGCA
This 84-nucleotide transfer RNA is filed under the name Ignavibacteriaceae bacterium. RNAcentral's name for it is "tRNA-Leu". It matches the Rfam family "tRNA". Rfam says of the family: Transfer RNA (tRNA) molecules are approximately 80 nucleotides in length. Their secondary structure includes four short double-helical elements and three loops (D, anti-codon, and T loops). Lineage: Bacteria; Pseudomonadati; Ignavibacteriota; Ignavibacteria; Ignavibacteriales; Ignavibacteriaceae. The record is from RNAcentral.